GGCCUCGUAGCUCAGUCAGCGUUGGCUGUACUAAAGCCUUCCCCUUGCUGGCGUGGGUUCGAAUCCCACCGAGGCCG
Molecule: transfer RNA, 77 nt
Filed under: Schistocephalus solidus
Lineage: Eukaryota; Metazoa; Platyhelminthes; Cestoda; Diphyllobothriidea; Diphyllobothriidae
Rfam family: tRNA
About the family: Transfer RNA (tRNA) molecules are approximately 80 nucleotides in length. Their secondary structure includes four short double-helical elements and three loops (D, anti-codon, and T loops).
Source: Rfam by way of RNAcentral